Molecule: ribosomal RNA, 557 nt
Filed under: Colletotrichum crassipes
Lineage: Eukaryota; Fungi; Ascomycota; Sordariomycetes; Glomerellales; Glomerellaceae
Description: eukaryotic LSU rRNA
Rfam family: 5.8S ribosomal RNA (bases 184-337)
Source: RNAcentral
CAGAGAAUUAUAUAAUUAAAACAACUAACCCCCUUUGUGAACAUACCUAUAACUGUUGCUUCGGCGGGUAGGGUCUCCGUGACCCUCCCGGCCUCCCGCCCCCGGGCGGGUCGGCGCCCGCCGGAGGAUAACCAAACUCUGAUUUAACGACGUUUCUUCUGAGUGGUACAAGCAAAUAAUCAAAACUUUUAACAACGGAUCUCUUGGUUCUGGCAUCGAUGAAGAACGCAGCGAAAUGCGAUAAGUAAUGGGAAUUGCAGAAUUCAGUGAAUCAUCGAAUCUUUGAACGCACAUUGGGCCCGCCAGCAUUCUGGCGGGCAUGCCUGUUCGAACGUCAUUUCAACCCUCAAGCUCUGCUUGGUGUUGGGGCCCUACGGCUGACGUAGGCCCUCAAAGGUAGUGGCGGACCCUCCCGGAGCCUCCUUUGCGUAGUAACUUUACGUCUCGCACUGGGAUCCGGAGGGACUCUUGCCGUAAAACCCCCAAUUUUCCAAAGGUUGACCUCGGAUCAGGUAGGAAUACCCGCUGAACUUAAGCAUAUCAAUAAGCGGGAGGAA